UGCUGCCAUAUCACGUUGAAACUCCGGUUCACAUCCAAUCAUCGAAGUUAAGCAACAUUGAACAUGGUCACUACCUAGAUGGGUGACCACUCGGGAAUACCAGGUGCUGUAAG
Non-coding RNA from Acanthosepion pharaonis, 113 nucleotides. NCBI's taxonomy places the organism in Eukaryota, Metazoa, Mollusca, Cephalopoda, Sepiida, Sepiidae. The record is from the annotation of a GenBank genome assembly.